CCUACGGGGGGCUGCAGUGAGGAAUAUUGGUCAAUGGGCGCAAGCCUGAACCAGCCAUGCCGCGUGCAGGACGACGGCCCUACGGGUUGUAAACUGCUUUUCCGGGGGAAGAAUAAGGCCCAUGCGUGGGCCGAUGCCGGUACCCCGGGAAUAAGGAUCGGCUAACUCCGUGCCAGCAGCCGCGGUAAUACGGAGGAUCCUAGCGUUAUCCGGAUUUACUGGGUUUAAAGGGUGCGUAGGCGGGCCCCUCAGUCAGCGGUGAAAGUCUGCGGCUCAACCGUAGGAUUGCCGUUGAUACUGGGGGUCUUGAAUUCGGUCAAGGUGGGCGGAAUGCGUGGUGUAGCGGUGAAAUGCUUAGAUAUCACGCAGAACGCCGAUAGCGAAGGCAGCUCACCGGGCCGAUAUUGACGCUGAGGCACGAAAGCGUGGGGAUCAAACAGGAUUAGAUACCCGAGUAGUC
Molecule: ribosomal RNA, 460 nt
Filed under: uncultured Bacteroidota bacterium
Lineage: Bacteria; Pseudomonadati; Bacteroidota
Description: bacterial SSU rRNA
Rfam family: Bacterial small subunit ribosomal RNA
Source: RNAcentral